GGGGGGCUAAAAGCUGGGUGCAGGGCGGUUGUCAUCCCCACGGUGUUGGCUGUGGGGACAGGAGCAGGAAGUCCCCAGCGAGGACCUUCUCCUGAGGUUGUUUGCAGGGGAAUUGGGGUGAUUGGAAGCCAGCGGGCCUCCGAGCGUUGCACAGCGUUAUUCAUGUAGCAGCUAAUGGAGCUUACUCAAUCCAUAAAGAUUUUAAGUCAGGAGUUUGAUGUUAAUUAUGGACCAAAACAUUUAAUAGCCCGUUACACUUCCACGAGGCAUUUUUUUAAUUAAAAAAUGAUAUAUUGCAGAAAAGGGAAAAAAAACAGAGGGGAAUAAUUGAAGAUUGUUUUAUUCUGGAAUGACCCGAGGCAGGGAAGGCGAUGAGGAGCCGGCGUGUCGGGAAACGUGAUGGUAAUGGCAUGGACCUGGCAGCACGGGAACAGUGGAGCGAGGUGGGAGCAGCUGAACCUCUGGGAGGAGGGAGAAGGAGCCCUGGGGCAGGGGGGUGGGUGAACACUGAGGGGGUCUGUGCACUGUGCUGGACUGCCCGACCUCUGGAGUCAUUUGUCUGUGCAGCAGAAGACCUUGGUUCAAACCCUUCUUUCUGCGUCUCCAUCAGCUAUCUCUCAGGAAAAACAGCUAAACCCCCAGGGUGGAAAUUAGCCUGGAAUAUGUCAGGGUUGAAGAAAAUCUGACAUGUCUCGCUCUGACGCUACUCCAUUCCUCAUUCAACAUUUAAAGAUGGGUUGGAGCAGGGGCUGGCUUUGGAUGCAUUCAGAUGGGCUGUGCAAAAUGGAAGGGCUUCAGCACAGCAAGCCAGCAUGUCCCGCGCCCACCCUGCCCCCAAACAGUGCCCACUGGCUGAUGAAGGUGAGCCUCUAUCUGGGAGGCUGCCAUCCAGCUAACUCAAGAGGGGAGGAGGAGAAAUGGGAUGGAAGCGUGUCCUGGGGGUGCCCAGGAAAAGUUAGGAUGGCUGCUGAUCAUUGGAAGGAGCCGGAGUAUGGUCCCCACACUUGCCCCAGUCCUCCCCAUGGCUCCAGCUCUGCACGUCGCUGUUGCUCGCUUCCCCCAACUCUACAAUGGAAAUAAUAUUAUUCCCUCCUUACAGGGCUUUGAGAUGCUCAGUUACUAUGGUGAUGGGGCCAUAAAAGUACCAAAGAUAGCAAGAACAAUAAUAAUAUCAGACAUGGUAAGAGCCAAAUAAUUGCAUUUAGGGCACGCACACAACACAGAAGAGAGAGCCACCUCCACGCACCGCAGUGCUCGGGCUCUGAAGACAACUUGUUGCACCAGCGGGCUCACAGCCUAUUUAAGGGCUAAUUUCCAACUCCUGCACCAUCCACCCAAGGGCGAGGAGCAGCCGCAGCGCUGUGCCCACUCCCACCUCCCCCUUGCAGCAGCCACGAAGCGGGGAGCAGUGGGAUGAGGGCCCUUUGCCUACGCCAACAUCAGACGUUCUGCACACCGGCACUGUCACACCACGGCCCCGCAGAUGUGCGGCCGCCACUUUGUUUGACCAGCUGAGCGUUUCCCCAGCGCAGUGCUGCUGGCGGUUUGGCUCCUUUGUCUCUGCUGCUUUGUCUCUUGCCUCUUUUUUUCCUUCUUAUUUUUUCUUUUGAAAUGUAUGGGGUUUUAAUUGAACAAAAAAAAAAUGUAUAGCAUCUGUGGCUGCUUAAUAACACCUGCGUGCAGCAAGGCAGCUUUUCAGCAGCUAUUGUCAUAGCAUUCUUGUCUGUGCAGUGCUGAGCUGCUGCUGCGUGGCCCCCUCGGAACUGCUCAAGCAGGAGCCAUCCUCGGAGGGCACAUAAUUAACAGGUGAUACAAAACAAGAUGCUGUUAAAAAAAUAUGAGCGACGAGCCUUCUGACUGGGGGGAUGCUCAGGGAUGCGCAGGCGAUGAGUUUGUCAUGCCUGUAUGGGAGCGGUGCCUGCAGGCAUCCGAGGGGCAGUGCAUUUUGGCUUUUGUGUCAGCUCUGCACCCCAAUUCUUGGUGGGCACCCACCUCCUUUGGACCUGGGGAGCUCAGCUGGGGCCCAAAUCCCCCUCCCCGUUGGGUGAAUGAAUGAAGUCCUGUUCCCACGGUGGAACAGUUUGGCCAGGGAAUAGAAGAGCAGCACAGCAAACAUCUCCAUGUCCAGCCCUGUGUGAUGCAGCUCUGCAGAGCCCCGUGUAACCCGGGGCAUUUAUGCAGAACCCUUCAGGCACUUCCCUUCAGCUCAGCCGAUGCAUUCAGGCUUUGAAUUUCCCUCAUCUCUCAGAGUACAUUAAAAAAUCAAUGUAAUUACACAGCAAACAUUAAUUAUGAUCAAAAAUGCAGCUGAGAGGGAUUGAUCUGGAGGAGAUCGCAAGGCUGUAGCUAGCCACAGAACUGCCAAAAAAUCAGCUCAGCGAGGCUGAGGCCACGGGACAUGUGGACUGUCUGAACAGCAAGGUAUCCUUGGAGACACCUGGAUUGUGGUUUCUGCCUCUGAUUUCUCCUAUGGCAGGCAUAGGGAUGGGUGAGCUCCAUGGGGAUGGAGCAGCUUCCUGGUCACCACGGCCACGUCCGUGAGGUGAGUGGUGCAGAGCCCUCUCAGAUGUUUCCAUAAAGCACAUGGACAGCUCUGCCUGGCAGUUUGCUCAACAGCAAAGCCAUCUUCACCUCCAGUUUCUUCCCUUAGACCCCCGCAGGUUCUUGGAGCUCUCCAGGGAUGAGGCUCCCCUGCACCCUGUGCUGUCUUUUGGCCAACCUUAUUCAUAGGAAGCUUUCCCUGAGCAUCUAACUCAACUUGGCUGCACUUCAAGCCUAUUACAUCUUGUCCAAUCAGCCACCAAUUGAUCACCAUCAUCUUUAUAACUGCCCUUUCCAUUCUGGAUGAAUGUUACACACUGUCUCGCUCUCAGGCUCAGUCCUGGAGCACAAACCCGGCUCCAUCAGUCCAUCUUCCUGGAGCAUGUUUUUCCAAACACCCCGAACUCUCUCAAUUUGUCUGAAUUUCUCUGAAAGUUGUGAUGGCCAAACCUGGAGAUAUGUAUCUCCUGCUGUUGCCUUACCAGCACUGAAUAGAGCCAAAUAAAUUACCUUGCUGUCUUCCAUCUGAAACUAUUAAUACAUCUCCAGGCAAGAUGUGCCUUUUCUUUCCUUUCCUAAAGCAUCAGGUUAUUGUCUGCUGCUCAGUUUGAGGGCUACUCUGCUGCCUGAGCCUUGGCUGCUCUCCUGCUGGCAUACCAGUUCUUCCCCAUCUUACAUCUGCGAUUUUGAUAUCGCCUUCCUAAGUGAAGCACUUUGCACUUGACUUUAUUGAAUUUCAGUGUAUUGAUUUCAAGCCAUUUCUUCAAUUUAUCAAAAUCAUUUUGCUCUGAGGAAUCUUGCAGCAGCUUGUCUUGCAUCUGCUCUGUUGACAAAAGGUCUUUAGUCCUCAAGGCUAUCAAGCCAGGACUGAGUAGUAGUCUUUAAAAUAGCCAGAAAGUACCAUACAAGAGGCGUGGGGACAACAGAAAAUAGAGGUUUUAGGCUGGUUUGCACAGAAAUGGCCACCCAGGGUGCAGAAACAGCAGGAGGAGAUGGGGCAAAGCACUGCAAGCACAGUGGGAACACUACUGGGUCCUGGGGUGAGAGCAGGGCUGCGAGAUGCUGGGACCCUGCUGCUGGCCUGGGGACAGCCCUGGAUGGAGUGGGGCUGGUGGAGGGUUGAGCCCUGGGGUUUAAUGGUUCCUCUUUCUUUUCAGGCCUGUAUGUGAUGAGCUGCCCCAUUGCCCCCAUGGGUCUUGCAUGGGGACACCCUGCAGCACCAGAUGUUAAUGCCACUGCGUGGGGACAGCAAAACCUGGACUAACAGACUGGAGUCCAUCAGCCAGGCGGAAGGUGAAGCGGCCGAGCUUCAGCUGCACACACAGCAGGAGGGAUGGGGAAUGCGCCGGGAGCGAGAUGCAAACAGACCCAGGGAGGGGUAAAGCAGAGGCGUCACAGAGGGGCUGGAGGAGAAAAUGGUUUCCUUGGGAAAAGGCUGGCAAGCCUCAGCUGGAAAGGGACAGCGAGGGAGAGAUGGGAGAGCUGCUCCAUGUUGGGGAGAGGAUCAUGGUUUGGGUAAAGCUGAGCUCACCCCGGCCCUUGACAUGAUAAUGAUGCAGACAUAGACGUGUGAUAAGCCCUGCUCUGCACACACUUUAAAAUCUAAGUAGCUUAUGAAUAAGUAAUAAUCCCUAUUCCCAGUGCCAUAAUCUAUAUUUAAUUAAGAAAAUAUCUAAAUGGUGGGAGUAAAAGGGGCUGUGUGGGGAAAUGGAGACAGAAGCACUAUGAGAUAAGAUGUGGUGGGAACAGGGACAAAAGGCAAACUCAGUAUGGUCAUGGUGGCAUGGUGGGGCUGCUGGGCUGGGCACAGGGGGACCUGCAGGAGGAGGUCUGCCCCAGUGACCACCAGGGUCAGCACUGAGCUGAAUGCUGGGCAGCUGGGUCAUUGGUGUGCAGUGCGACUCCGUGUUCCCUCCUGUUCAGUGCUGGUGCUGAUGGUGGACUGCAUGGAAAGUGAUGCUACAGCAUGCCCAAGCAGCCCAAACCCUGUGUUUGACAGCGCCCAAAUCACAGCCUUUGAUACUGUUACAACAUGCUACUUGGUGCCUGUGAUAAAGCAUCCUUGGCAGGAGGCUCCAAAUGUCUUGCACUGACACAGGAAAGCGAGCCCUGCCAGAAUAACCCAUGCUGAGAUGGGAAGAGAGCAGUGCAGGUGAUGCCAAGGGCACCUCUGAUCAACCUUCACUUUGGACAAGAGCAGAGUGGGGUGCAACCAAAGGUACCUCUGCAGUACCUUUCUAGAGACUCUGCAGGGCACUUUCACCACCAACAAAAGCUCUUCACAGCCAAAGCCCCACACCUUUCCCACCCAGCAUGUUGCACCAAGGCUGCAAAGUGUGUCUGCAGCCCUGCUCACUUAGCUGUGCUUAUUUCCCUAGCGGGGGGUCUGCAGUCACCUCCGCUCCUUCUGGUUGUCAAUAGUGGAACUGAGAGCACACUUUAAGGGCUCGGUCAAAGAAAAAAAAACCAAUCUCAACCCACAUGCUAUACUUUAUAAAUAGGCCGUCUGGUUUUUAAAUUGAAAAACAACAAUAAUCACUGCUAAGAGCCCGCUGAACAAAAGCAGCCUUAUUGCCACUGGGACAGAUUCAUUCUCACCAACAAAAACAGAGAUAUUUUUCAAGCUGCUCUUGAGCUCCUGAAGUUGCUAACGUCCCGCUGCAUCACGGCAACUGCAGUCAGGUUUUAGCUGCAUUCUUCUCCUCUAAGUGCUGUUUUGGGGCAGGGUGGCGGAGGGUCUGGAGAAGGCAGUGCUUAUGGGGGGGAGCAGGGCUGGGAUGGGCUGUGCUGCAGUGGGCAUAGCAGCAAGGCAAGCUUGGCUUUCUGCUGCUGUUAAGAGAAGGAGAAAAGCACAACUUCCAGAGAGGAGGUCUGUCAAGGGUGCUGAGCAGGAACAGACAUGGAAGGAGCCACGUACCACAUUCUGGAGAUCUUUGCUUCCUCUCUUCCCAGCACAGUGAGCUCACUGGGAGCUCAGCGCUGGCCCAAAUCCAGCCUGCCCCCAACAGUGCCCAGAGCCAGGCAUGCAGCCAAGCAGGUGGGGAACAGGAGAGCUGGAGCUCACAUUGUUUUAUCUGGGUUUGGGUCCUUGAACCAGAAGGCUGGACAGCAUUAGCCAUUGCUGAUCCAGAGCCAGCAUCUGAACGCAUGCGGCAGUGGCUCACAUUGCUGGAUCCCUGCCUGGGUGCUGCUUCAGGCACGGCUGCCAGCAGCCUCGUGCCAUUGGCCUGCCAUUGGUCACAGUCAGAACAAGUGCUGUGGGACUGAUGGGAUGCCACCGUCCUGGGCACACCAUGGCAUGGGAGGUGGGGCUGAGAGGGUCUUCUCUGUGCCAGAGUCUGAAUGCUGCCUUUGGGCAGGAAGCAAGGGCCUGUAACAUUGACCUAGCAAAUGAUGCUGGCUGCUCCACGCUGGAAGAUGUUGUUCUGAGCACAGCACAUGGGUUCAAAUGUUACGGAGAGAUAAGAAAGGUGCAGACUUGGAGGUGGAGGAGAAAGGAAAGGAACAAAAACAAUUUAAUAAUGAAUAUAUUAUGUAGACGUGUCAUGCCUCUUGCCUGCUGGCAUGGAUUAAUAUCCAUAAAUCAAAAAGGAAGGGACUGUUUUAAAUGCUGGAGAUGGAGGCUGGUCCUCAGAAAAUUGCUAGAGGGGCAUUAAUAAGGAGAGACAUCUGGGAAAGGCUCCAGGUGCAUUGGCUGCAUGCAGGGGAAAUUCUGCAGAACCAGUGUCAGCUGUAAUGUAUUCCUGUGCUGUGGGGACCCUGGGCCCCCAUGUGCAGGCUGGAGGAGCCACGACUGAGGUGGGAUUUUCUGCCUCAUCUGUGCUGGGCAUGCAGUCAUCAUCUCCCAUCCACCACGGUGACUGGGACCCCAAGGAUGGGAGCUGCAGCUUUCCCAGUGAGCCCCAGGUAAGGGCAGUCCCAGGGCACUGCCCCAUAGGGCUGUGCUGAGGUGGCACUGUGCAACCUCCCGCAUCCCUGGGCAGGAUUUGUGCUGGCUGGGGGCUCCUUUGCUCACCACAUUGCUUGCUAAAGCAUGGAUUUAGAGCACUGGGAUUGCAUUAAUCUCAUUUUGUGUGCAUUUUCACCCUGGUCUACAGCCGAUGGGAAGGGACUGGGAGAAUUUUGCAUUGUGGGGGAACCAGGCAGGGAGGAGCAGCCCCAGGAGGGAGCAUCCACUGCCACAACACAUACAGAGAGAGGUGAGAAACCUGGCUGGUAGCAAGGGGUGCUACAAAGCGUGUGUUUGCGGUAUAAGUGGAUUAUAGGGGGAAAGGGAGAAGGCAGAAGGGCUGCAGGAGGAAAACCACGGGGAUGCUGAGCAAAUGGCCCACACUGCAGCACCACUGCUGUUUCUUAUAGGGUCUCUUUGAGCUGCAAAGAGGGAAAAGGAGGGAUGGAGGAGGCUGAGCAUUUGGAGAUAGCUCAAUGAGCAGCCCCAGGUUCAAACAGCGGAGUGAGAGGAGCAGCUGUGGGAUGGAAAACCCAAGCAAGGGAUCCCCGGGGCUGCUGCACACAAACCUGCAAGUGACAAAGGCGUGAGCAGGCUCAGUGCUCAGAGAGUGGGGAAUUGCUGUCUGUCUGCGUCUCUCCCUGAUUUCAUUGUGUUUUGUUUAAUUGAAUUGCACACACACAUGCACACAAAGCCCCAGUGCGUGGUGUGAACUCUGCAAGGAAAUGAGCAGCAAGUUGAGGAGGAGGGAGGAAAGGGGCAGAAGGAGAGACCUGCAGGGAGGGCAGUGGGCUGGGGUGGGGGGCACAGCUCAGACCUUGAGGCCGUCUAUCAGCUCUCUACAGCCUGGGCUCCCCUCUGGACACAGGACCCUGACCCAGGAGGAGGCAGCACUGCCUCACUUCCCCUUGCUGCAUAUCCGCAGUGUUAGAUGCAUGUCCAGCCCGGGCUGCAAGCAAAGCCAGGGGCAGUGCUGCUCUGCGAUGCUCUGUGAUGCUCUGCGGUGCUGGCGAAGUGUGAGGUUAAAGGACGUGAGCAUCCUGCACAGGCUUGCUGUGACAGGCCUCGCAUGUGCUUAGUCACAUCCAGCUAUGAAAACACUCUUGAAACCAAGACAUUGAUUCAAAGGAGCAGCAGCACUGCAAACACAUCUGCCUGUGCGAAGGAGAACAUCAAAAGGGCUGACAGUCACCGAGCCCAGCAAUAACCUUUGGCUAAUUAGCUGUCUUGAUUUCCUUGCAGUUUAUUUUUACACUUCUCGUGCUCUGAAAUGCAUUUACUGUAAUGUCAGAAAGGUCAUGGUAAAUAAAAAGCUUCCUAGCAAUAACUAUAUCUGCCCCACUGGGCUUUGGCGACUGAUAGCUUUUGGGACAGGCAGGCUGGCAGUGCUUUGCUGAGGGUUUUGUUUUGCACAGGGCUGUGCUGGGGGCAGUAGAGGUUCCUGGGGCAAAGCAGGUAUUUCUGAGGAGCGUGAUGGGCAGAGGGCACAUGUAAAAGUGCUCCCCUGAUGUGAAGACCCAGGUGACCAGAAUGGGGAGGUGAGGUCAGGAGAGCAGUGAGGAGAAAGGUGGGAGCAAUGCUGAUGCUUGUAGAGAGGAGCAGGUGGGAGCCCUGUAUUUCUGGAAGGAAAAAUCCUGUACCAGCCAUCAUGCUGCUCCUCCGCCCUCCCCUGCAGCUCUUCUAAGCACAGACAGCCCUUUGCUCUACUCACAGUCCUCUGCAGCAGGACCUGACCUCCCUGCCUGCCCCAGCAAAGCCUGCCCCAGAGAAGCUAAGAGGAUGGAUGGCUUCCAUUUGGCCAAGGUCUUGGGGUCAAACUGGGGGGUGACCGCAGCCCAAGCUACUCCUGCUUCUCUCCACAGGAACACGCAGCCCAUGCUGAUUGCCUGUGGGCCUCCUCUUGCGGGCUCCAGCCCAACACUGGGCAGAGGCACGAGCACAGGCAGAGCCGUAUCACCAGAAGGACAAAGGGUGAGGAAACAACUUUCAUUAUCUCUGUGCUGUGACCUCCAGUGCAAACCACUCGGCGUGUGGCUCCCCUGUAUUGUGCACAAAGAUCAGUGGAAGGAAGCAUGGUGCUGAGAAGAGACCAUUGCAUUAAUGAGCAGAAAUAAAGCCGCUCUCCGCCUCCAGAUCAGUGCCAGGCAGGUGAGGAGAGCUCUGAAUACCUGCAGAUGGGUGGCGGGCCCCAAAUAGUGUCAGAAGUUGAAGAGACAGAAGAGCACUGAGUGUGACCGCCAUGGAAAGCUGCUGGCUCUGUUAGCAGAGCUGUGCUGGAGUCGGUAGCCCUGCUGCUUAGCUCCACAUCUUUAAUUUUAAGGGUCAGAUCAUCACAAACUCUCUCAGAGAAGUUAAUAGGAAGUUUACCUUUGCCUCGGCCGUGUAAAACCAACAAGAAAUUCCCAACUGCCUGCAGUGAUGCACUGUCUGAUUUCCCAUCCCACCCUUUCUGCAAGGUGAGUUCAUCACAUUUUCCUUUCUAAACCUGCUCCUGCACUUAGUGCUUACGCUGCCUGGUCAGAACCAAAACAUCUCGGCAAGUAAGAGGACGAGGGGCUUUGCCCUGGGGCUGACAGGUGCCCUCUGUGCCAUAAGAGCUCUUUCGCACGGCCAGAGCCACGGCACGAUGCAGGGCUGAGUAAAGGAGUUGGUACCACCGGGGAAGGGAAGGUGCUGAGCUCCCAGGUCACACAUCCACAGGUGCACACACGUUAUUUAUACCCCCACACGACAGCUGCUGCCUGCAUCCACAGAAUCCCUCCACUGAUGCCUCUCUCUGAAUCACGGCUGCAUAAAGCUCCUUGACAGACCUGCGGGAUGAGAGACGUGGUAAAACCCCCAGCAUGAGGCUUUCAUCAACGGUACAGCAAUUAAUUACCAGAUCCUGCUGCUAUCAGGACACUGCGGAUAGAGCCGUGACGCCACCAGGCUGAAGAUGUCAGUGCUGGUUUGAACGGGCCCCUACACAACAUGAAAAAGAACAAAGCUGAUCUAAACAGCGACGCUUCCUUGUCAGCCUCUGCAAGAAGUGAGGUGGCAGCCUCACAGGAAUCUUCUCUCCAGCCCUCUGACCCCCUGCACAAUACCACGUAGCUACCAGCACAGGCUCCUUUCAUUUGGUCUGAUAGAGUAAACCACCUCUCCAUCUCUUCCAAAGUGAAUAGCCAUGAAAAUGUACAUUGAGAUGAAAGUUUACAACCCUUGAAAAUAUCCUCUUGCUUGUGGAAGGGCUUCUGAGAAAGGAACACAAAGGACAAUGAUUGCCAAGGAAGGGGGAGAUGCUGCUGGGCAGCAUUUGACCCAGCCCAUGCAGAGGUUGUGCAGAAGAAGGAGGAAGGAGACAAGGGGUUGAGACCUGCAGCUGCAGUCACUGCCCUGCAGGAGCAGCACCUCAGUGUCCACAGAGACCAAUCCCAAAUUACUCACCGUAAGAGUUCUCAAACUCUUAUUCUUCUUCAUCUUCUGUGUCCCAAACUGUCCUGGCACUCAUAUUCGUAAUCAGUUGCCUGGCCCUGGGUCUGGCUCCAGCGGGACACUCACUGCUGUCCAUCUGUCUGCAUUGCUGGCAUUUCUGUGUCCACCCAAGGGACCUGAGCGCCUAUGCUCUGCUUAUCUUUGCAUCCUCAUUGGCCAAAAGUCACUUUGAAAGCGGGCCCUGGGAGCCGUAGCCUUGUUGGGGCUCACUGUUUGAAAGCACCUACCCAAGCUGCUCAUCAGUCCCUGCCUCCCAGCAAUGACUGCACCCUCUCCAUCCCGUAUGGCCUUCAGCAGUACCCACACACCCAGCACUGCCAUUCCACCCAUGGACCCGCACGCCUUUCACCAGCACUGCAUUUUCUUCAAAAGAGGACAAACGAGGCUUAAGCCAGAGGCUGGUGGAGGACAGCGAACAGAAAGAGAAUGGCAGACGGAGGGCGUUGUAAAACUCCAAGAAUAAAUAUUGCAGAAGAAAAGCAAGCCUGUGACAGAUACCGGGCAAUCUAGCCAUUGUCCCCAAACCUCCCUGGAGCUCCACAGGACUGCAGGAACUCUACAGCAAACCCAGACAUUGCAACUUCAAAGACCAGCGUAAGAAAAUGAAAUGGGAAUAGGGGAAUAAAUGGAAGGAGACGUUGCCAGACUGCCAACCUGUAGCAGAAAUGCUAAGUCACAGUCUGAAACACUGACUGAGCACCUGGUGGGAAGGCAGGGCCAACCCAGGGGAGCUCAGGUGUAAGCAAUACAGCUGAGUGACCAGAAGGGUGGAGCCAGGAUCCACCCCUUCCCAGUCCUCAUUUAAGGAUUGGCAGUGGAGGCAAAGGUAUUUCCCUGGAGAUCCCUGUCUACCUGAGGUCUUCUAAAGGCUUUGUGAGUAUCCAUUUGAGAAUUUGUACCACAAUGCAAGCAAAAAGCUGACUUAAAUUGUGAGAUUAUGGUUUUGAUGUUACUGACUCGUGAGUAGUGCUGGAAGAACUGCAGUGGGAAAAGGAGCUUCCAACAUGUAAUUUGGUUUUGUCCUAAAAUAUAGGCACAUUGUCAGGAAAUAGUAACUGUUACCAGAAAUACUGCUGGAAUGAAAAGUAUUGUGUUCUCUCCACUGGAAAUAAUCUUAGAAGAUGAUACCAAAAUAGCUAACACUAAAACACAAAGUCCCUGCAAGGAGAGCGUGCCCUGGUUCAGCAGAACAGGUAAAUACGCAGGAGUUCUGCCCAGUUGAAGACCCUUGUGUGCUAGGAUUUGAACACGUGCUGCUCACCGAAUAUCCUGGGUUGGAUGGGACCCAUGAGGACCAUGGAGUCCAACCCCCAGUUCCACACGGGGCCACCCAAACCUAUGUCUGACAGCAGUGUUCUGCCAGUGUUGGAACAGAAAUUAGAGGAGCAAUUCCACUGCAACCUGUGGGCUUGUGUAGGCUUCAUGAAGGCCCCAGACGUUGUGUUGUUCCAAUGGCCUCCAUGAGCAGAUCAUGGAAGGCAGCCAGGUUUGAGCUGGGCUCCCUCAUGCCUCAAUGCAGCAGCUGGCGACCCUCCCUUGCACAAAAGGAGGAUUGCCCCGUUGUAAGCUUCAGAUCCAGGGAAAUAUUUACUUCAGAAUCCAGGUUCUCAUUUUCGCCUGUUUGAUCUCUUUCUUUUUCCUCCUCUUUCCUCAUUCUUCAGUGUUUAGCUCCAGCCCACAGCUCCUGAGUAGAUGUGUUAAAAAUAAAAUAACAACCAGGGGUGGGAUUUUCCGAAGCGCUCGGUACUGUCUGACUCCGUUCUCUUUGAAGUCAGCAGGAGUUUUAUUAUCGACUUCAAUGGGAGCAGUUAAGCCAAUGCUGCGCAUUGUGAACGUGCAUAUUCAUGAAGCGAGCAGCAUUUGCUAAUGGUACACGGAUUCAAAGGGCUGAUAAGAAUUUAGUGGGAAAGCUACUUGGAAAGAAAAAAAACAAAAGCAGUUCCAUAAGUAGUAGAAGCAGGAAAUCCUGCUUGCCUUGAGCUUGAUUGAUGUGGCUGCUGGAGAAGGUGUGUGUGCUGGUGGUAGUGGUGCUCUCCUAAAUGGAUUCUCCAGCAUCCAGUAAAGGCUCAGCACAACAUGGCAGCUUUGCCUCAGUAGAAGUAGGGCAUCUCUCUUCUACCUUUGCCUGUCUGCUCAAGCCUUCAGGGAACUUGCUAUUUUUGAGAUGGCUUUCCUCUGUCAGGUUUGGCUGGAGUUGGAUAACGCACUUAAAAGUUGCCGGGGAUAUACACACAUGUAUGCAUAUGCUCUGCAUGAACAUAAAAUCUGUACUUCUGUAGGAAGGCAUGUUAAGUAAGGCUGCUCAGAACCAGGCUUUAAGGGAGUGAAAGAGGUGGUUUUAGACCAGAUGAUCAGCAAAAAGCCUCAGAUGUGUGAACUGUGAUCCUCUGAGAAUCCCAGCUACGGAGAAGGUGCUAAGAGAAGGGCAAUCCUCGAGAAAAGAGGCUGAAGACAAAAAUAUGGUCCUUGGGAGGACUUACGAUAAUGGUUGCUAAGAUAAAAGUACAUUCAAGAUAGGAAACAGAGGUAUAUAGACGCACCACAUUUGCUCAAAAUACUCAAAACAACAACAAAAAAACACAGCAUUUUAGAAGUUGCUCUUUCAGGGGUGGAAGUACAGCCUUUUUGGAAAUCCAGGCCAUUUGCAAACAUCUUUGGCUGUGCAAAGAAAACAAAUGAAAGCGGCAACAAGGACUGGUCCCUUUGGCAUCAGGGCUAACGCAGCCCAGGAGAAAGACAGAGAAAGUUGGAUGUGAUCCCCAAACUCCUUUCAUAUGUGAAUCCAUUCUCCCAGAAACAAAGCCUGGCAAUGAACCUUCCCUGCCAAGAGCAGCCUAUUGCCAGCCCAGGUGCUCCCACGCGCUGUCACUGCCUUUGGCACCAGGGUUGUCCACAGAAGUGAAUCAAUUCUCUUACCACCCCACAAUUUCCACACCACUGACAACUCAGAAAACAAUUAAAAAGAGAAUUCAAAGGAUCUGUUGAAAUUUCAACGAGGAAAUCUGAGUGAGUGAGCAUAUGUAAAUAGGAAGAAUGAGUAGCACAUAAUUACAUCAAAUUGUUACUUAGCAGGGGAAGUAAAUAACCCAAAAUAUGCGGAGCAAAAAAUGGCGAUGAAUUAGAACUAAUUACUUAAGGCUAAUUAAAAUAAGAAUGGCUUGAAUUGAAAUAUGUUAAUAGCAUUGAACCUGCCACCUACGAGGGAAUUUAAAUAAAAAUGAUAAUGUUGCAUCAACUUUCACCUGAUGGGGGUGAGAAGUUGGGAAUCGGAGCUCAGUCUGCUGUGGAGGUAUUGACAGCAACAAGGCAUUAUUUAUGAUCACUUUAGAGCUGGAAUUUUCUGGUAGGUGGAGGACUCCUGGUCAAGGGAAGAGAGAGAUUGUGUUGGAUAAUGGAUGUGAAGAAAGUACUGCAACAGGCAAACCCUAAAUCAUCUCCAGAUCUGUUCAUCUUUGAGGGCCUCGUGCUGGGGAGGGCUUUGGCUGAGAGUAAGGCAUAGAGGUAAUGGGAUGAUGGGGAAGGAAAGAGAAACAGCAAAUAAGAGAGACUGAGGGAGCAAAAAGGAGUGAAAGAGAUAGGGAGAGCCUAGAGCCAUGACAAAUCAUCACCAGCUUCAAUUACAUGAGCCUGCUGGGCUAUGAAAUCUGCUGAAGGUCACUGGAUUCUUGUGUUUGUAAUUAAGAAAAAAGCAGCUUGCUGGUUCCACCCCAUGGUCCAACUGCCCAGGGCAAGAGUUUGGGGGCUGAUGUCAUUGUCUGGGGCUGCAGUUACCUGCACUGGGAGCAGAGCACUGGAAGUUUGUCCCAAAAGUCCAUGCUUACCGCAGUGCCCCAAAACCACCUCUAUGUUCACCACUGGGUCCUGCCCAGCUCCAUAGAGAGGGGCUGCUAGGUGGGUGCAGGGCAGCAGUGCAGCCUUUCCAUUUUUGCUCCGACACCCUGGUUGGCAUUAGAGCCAAGUGAACAGCAAGCUGGUGCCAGGCCUGCUGCCAGCUGGUGCAUCCAAUGGGAUUCAUCCUGGAGCUGUGUAUCUGGAAAAGGUUUCAAGCCCAAGGAUGGCUGGGUUCCUCCCUGGUGGUUUUGGGUGCUGUGAACAAGCAGCAGAGGUGCUGCAGUCACAUGGCCCUGUCCUGCCUGUAACAGCAUUCCCAGUAUGGACCAGUAGCUGAGACUGGUUUUGAUAAAUCUGCUCUUUAGCACUGAUGUACUGCCUGAGCCCUGCAUUGGCGAUGGUGUAACAAACUUUGGAUCAGCUGCUUGAAUUGUGAUGUGUGGAUGACCACCUCAGUGUUCCAUUCACACCAGCAUCUCAGUCAAGGUGGAUGACAGUGGGAUAUACCCUUUGCUGAGCACCAGGGUAAACCCACACCAGGGCAGCCAUGAGGUGACUUCCAUGCCUCCAGCCUACUGCACAGAAGACAUCACCUCCUAGAAAACUGUAUUUCAGACUACACUGCAAAUUGCAGCAGGACUCCGCAAACCCUCUGCAGAUGUCCCAGCACUGCUGUCCCCUCCCAGGAGGGAAGCCCUGGUACCACCGAGAGCAUCACGCAGCCAAUGGCACGACGCGCCCUCUGCUUCUCUGCUCAGCGUAACGAAUCCUGCCUCCCACUCAGAGCUGCUAAGAGAAGUUACUGAUGAGGAGAAAUUCAUCAAAUUGUAAUCCAGGGAGAACACGCGAGAGAGAGAGAAAGGCCAACAGCAGCACACACGUACCCUGCAAAAAUCCCAAAGUUGACAUUUACAUUUCAAACACUUAUAACGGCUAAACAAAUAACAGUAAUUAUACUAUUUGCAUACUUUGUUAAAUAAUUGUUUGUUAGGUGAAGGGAGCCUGUGUGUGUGUGUGAGAGGAGCGGAUGCUCCAAGCCCAAGGAGGCAGAACAGCUGCUCCUUCCCUUCCCAGGUGCCCUGUUUGCUUCUCAAAACAGUGACAAAUGCCCUAAAAUGCUGGUAGGGAGGUGGAUGGAUGGGAGGUGCAGGGCUGGGGUGGGCUCUGGAGGAUGAGGGUCAGGGCUGGUGAGCCCCCGGUGAUCUGGUGAUCACCUGGUGAGCCCCUGGUGAUCUGCACAGCAGCCCCACUGCCUCCCAAGCAUGUGCCCCAGAAAUGAGCACUGGAUCUUUCAUGCACUGAUUGAGGGUUGCGGAAGUCCCCAGAGAAAGCACAGGAAGGGAAAAGCUGGGAAAAAAGGGAAAAGAGAGAAGGUCCCCUAUCACGGCACCACUUCGCAUCAUGUGCUGAGCCCCUGUGAUGAGGAUGCCCAGCUCCCAGCCCACUUGCCAGCUCGAGGUCAGCAAUUUCCCCUUGCAUCUACGAGGGCAUCUCAGCUUUUAUCUCUUCCUGCUCAGCUCCUAGGGCAGACAGCUAAUUGAAGAGCUUUCUUUCGUUCAGCCUAGCAAAUGUCUUUUAACCUACUUGGCUUUCCCCAUGAAUGGCUCUCUCCUAUCUAUCCUCUCACCGCUCCUAUCCCUGCUGGGGUUUUUUGGUGGGCUAUUUUUAUUUUUAUUUUUUUAGUAGACUUGAAUGAUGUGAACCGGUGGAGAAAGCAGAAGCCUUCUGCCUCUCCUCACAUGGUCAGGAAGGGUGGAGCGGAGCCAGAGCCACCGCAUCUCUUCACACCUGGCUGGAACCAGGUCAGGCAGCUAAUGCGUUCCUUGGGCUCGGCCACGACUUGUUGGAGACAGACGAGUGCUGCAGGCUGGGAGAAGGAAUUCCAGCGAGAGACAUAUGUGGGGGAUGCAGUGCCAGGAGAGCCAACAGCAAGCUGGAGACGGAGAGCUCUGCUCCGUGAAACGCAAAGAGAGGCAGAUUUAAUAGAGGCUUGAUGACUUUGAAACCGUCCCUCAUAGCCUCAAUUAAGACAGGAGAUUUCAUUAAGCACACAAGCAAUGCUCAUGCCCUGCCGAUGGGCAGCAUUCCAGCUCCGGAGGUGAUCACUGUCCGUGUGGGUUCAUUCUUCCAGCAGCAGACGGUGUGCUAUUCCAGCUUUAAGUCCGUGCAGUUCGGGGCGGCACCAGGAACUGCAUCAAACCAAGGGUAUCUCAUCAGGAUGGGGAGGAGAAAUGCUCCCAAGAACUGCUCAAACCGCUUCAACGUGGAUAGUUUACGUUUUCCCUUCAGCCAAAGCUUUUCUCUGGUUUUAUUUCAUUGUUAUUUUUUAAGCUGAAAGAACAUUAUCCAGUUCAACCCCGGGUCUUUCAAGUGGAAAGCAGAAACGCUCAGAUUUCUUCAAUAACUCUUUUCUCCUUUCCUUCCCGCUACCACACUUUCUACUUACAGUGGAAGAAAUAGGGAUAAGAAACUCCUCGUGUGUGAAACCAGCCCAAAAACUGAGCAGUGAAUGCUUUGCUCCAUCGUCCUGUGCAUUGGAGUCAUCUCCAGCUUCCACCCUUCGCUGUGAGCUCCACAGGGCAACAAAUUUGGAGAGAAAAGAAACGUAAUUCCUCCCUUUGUGUAUUUAAAAAAAAAAAAAAAAAAACAAAUCAAGUCAUGGGAAUGGCCAGAUUUUGCUUCAAAAGAUAUUUAACACUUCAUUUUGCUUCAUCUCUUCUUGAAUAUUUCUUAUAAAAGACAAAGGCUUCACACAAAAGGUCAUUAAGAGAUAAAAAAUUGAAGCUCUUCUUGCAAGAACGAGAAAGAAGGCAUCUUGACAUUUUUAACAGGUCUUUUUUGUCCUCCUUUCCAAAAUGAAAAUUAAUCAACAUUGAUUUGAUUUCACACACAAAAGCCCCUUCCGUGGAUGUGGCAUUUGCUGACGGAGAGCUGUUUCGACAAGAAGAUUCCAGCCGGUGCUGCGGGAGGAGCAGAGCCACAAGGACACCACUCUGCCAGGGUCCACAAUAAAUCCCGUCCUUUUUCUGGGUCAAGAAACUCAGAGCUGUCUGGAGGUUAUGCUAACACGCCGGGGUUUGGGGACUGAUGUCAAGAUCUGAGGAAUUCCUGUUGCCUGGAAUAGAAACAACGGAAUUGUUCCAAGGCACCAUUUAUCCCCAGGUGCCUGGGAACUGUCAUUUCUGGAGAAGAUGAACAACCUGAGAAGAUCUAAUAUCUUCAGAAAUAAAUCAGGAAGACGUUUCAUUCAGCUCCCCCUGUGAAUAACGCACGGGAGAUGCAUUAGCCAAAGGUGGGGGAGGGCAGUGGGAGCCGACCACCAGCUGUCCCAGACCAGGUGGAGGACGACUGGUUGCUGAGUGAGGGGAUCACUCUACCCCAGCAGGCCUGGUGUGAUAUUUAAGCAGGCAGUUCUCAUCUCUGAUGAUGGCUAAGCCUGCUGAACCACAAUCAAAUUGCCCUGUUUUGGAUUCCUAGAGAAGCCACAAAUACUCAGCAACAUACAAGACUUCAGCUCAUGCUUCUGCCGGGAUGGAGAUGGAUGCCACCAUCCAUCCAUCCACAUGGAUGUCCUGCUGGCUAUGAGAUCUCAGUGUGGACAGACCCAGAGAGAUGCUGGGGGGCAGGACUUGAGCAAGGUACAGGAUCUGGAGAUAUAAUACCUCCCUCGACGUCCUCCAUGCAACAGCAAUCCAACCAAAGCAUUCUCCUCCACAGGAUUAUGGAAGUCUCCACUCUGAGAGCCCAGAAAAGGGCACUGGCAGUGCUGGACUCUCGCCUGAGCAAGUGUUGUUUGGAGGGGUCGACAGGAGAGACUCCAGUAGCCAGGUCCAGCAUCUGAGGUGCUCAGGGCAGGGACUGGCACUGACGACACUGGGGUAGAGUAUUUAGGAACAUGAACCCACCACCUGAGAGAACAGGAUAUCAGCUCCAAACUUGCUACACAGCAUCUCCCCAGAGAGGAAAAGUCCCCUGGAUACUGCCAGGACACCAUGGGAAUAACCCUGCUGGCAAACAAGGGCGUUCCCCAGGAGAUCUCUGCACAGACACGGAGCAGCAGAGCUGUGCACAUGAAAAUCCUGUCUGAAAUGAAUCCCUGAUCAAGGAGAAGCCACGUUAAAAGGUGAGUUAUGCUGGCCACCAAGGCUUUGGGUUUUUUAAGGGUCUCUUGUAGAAUUACUGCAUUAGCAAGCUAUUACAGGUGAGGAUAUCAAACUGCUAGGCACAGCAAGAAAAGACAUGGAGUAUUUGAGAUGGGAAAGAAACACAUGGAAAAAUGAGGCAGAAGAGGGCAAGAGGAGGAGAGGGGAGAAGUAGAGAUGUGCAGAGUGGAAGGGGGUAAAAAAGAGAGCGAUUUGCAAUAGGAUAAGGAGGAAAAAAAAAGAUAAAAAGAGGAAGAGAAAGGGAAAGAAGAGAUAAAUGAGGGCAAAGACCAUCUCAUCAUUUUGCAAUUCCACCUCGGUGGAGAGGAAAAUUGAUGUCUGGAGCUUUUUUUUUAAUGGCCAACCUCCUGGGCAUGGGACAAAAGACAAGUUAUUACCCAACCCUGGGUCAGGUCUGCAGCCUGCCAACUGCUUAGACACAAUCAGAGAGCCCAUGAGAGCCAUAAAUCAAGUGGGGGCAAAGAGAUCACAGAGAGCCUAGGACCAGGCACAGAGCAGCAGCGAGCUCAGCAAAUGCAAUAAUCACAGGAGAAGAGCGAGCCCAGGAAUGACACAGCCUGGGAAGGAGUGCCCAGCCCCAAUGGGCUUCGCUCAUCUCUUCUUCCUGCCACUCCUAAGAAUGGCACUCCCCCAGAAAUGCAAUUCCCUCUGCAUUUCCUCCCGAUUUCUCUUCCUAUUGAUUUUCAAGCUCUGAAUACCAUUUAUUUUUGCUUGCUUGAUUCACUCAUUCAUUGAAUAAAGGCAUCAUCACUAUUAUUAUUAUUAUCCCUGUCAUCGCGCUCCUCAUCACACAUUAUAUUAUUUGCAUUGCAGAGCUGGAAGAUUUCAGGUUGAGGCAGGAAAUUUGUGCGAGUUGUUAUUACUGCAAUCAGAUGAAGUGAGAAUUGGAUCGGCAAAGGCUGCCAGAGUGCAGCUCUCCCAGCAGGACGCGGAGGCUCUGUCCAAUCAGGGAGAGCUGCAGUCCUAUUGCACUGGUCCCGCCAGCAAUUUCGGACUUGCCUUGCGCAUCCCAUCUCCCUCCCAUCCCACCACCCGCCCCCAUUGGCUCCCAGCAGAGAACAGGGAAUGCAUCAGUACAGGAGGGCGAGGAAUCAGAAAAAGACUUGGCGAGAUUGCACAUUUUCUGCCUUGCUGAUGGUAUUUAUUAGACAACAGAAAAUAGCUAUUUUACCAUCUGCCUCGUGAAAAAAAAAUCCUCAUUAAAUUAAUGGAAUGUGCAGCUGCUGAACAGAGCGUUCCUCUCCCCGUCACCUCCCAAGCUGCCCAGCACUUGCUGGAGAACAGAACUGGGCUGCCAAAAGUAGCUGAGGCUGACGUGGGCUUGUGUGGUAGAAGAGGAUGGACAGACAGACAGACAGACGGCUUCCUGCUCCUCCUGACCCCAGGGCCCUUGCUGCUGGCCCUAGGGGAGCCCUGUUGGGCAGAGGGGCUGCCUUGCUCACUGUGUUACGUUCCCUUCCUGCACACAGGGGCUCUUCUUGGAAGGGAAUGAGACCAGUCUGCUCAGCAGGCUGUAGAUGCAUUUUCUCCUAAGCUGAGGGCGAUCCAGACUGCAGAUUCAGUUCAGUUGCCCAUCACCCUACACUGAGCGUGGCAGGAUCUUAGGGCAAGCAGUCCUAAUGCCUCAGGUAUCUCAGUCAAUGUGAGCUAGCCACUCCACCCCAACAUCCAUCACUACACAUCCAAGUUUGACCCGAGCUGGAGCUGGCCCUGUGGAGGUGUUCAGCUGAAAGUGCAACACCAAGAAUGCCCAAGGCUGGCUGACUGCGUAGGCCAGAGGAGCCCCUGCACAGACAGGUCAAACCCAACCCUGAAUCCUUUCUACAUCGCAGUAAGACAGGAACACCACAAACUAAAUGUCCUCAGUGAUGUGACUGACGCUAAUGGAGCUGGGAGAAUGGCAACCAGUUUAAGACCAAUGUUAUCCAUUCAUUUCUAAUCGGUUUGGUAAAGCUAUAAGGGUUUUAAGUCAACCUUUUCUUCUGAUAGCUGGUAGAGUAUGAGGAGUAGUCGCCAAAAUCCCACACCACUCAUGACUUUGAGGAGCAGAUCCAUCAUAUUUACAUGUCCAGUGCUCCCAGAGGUACCGACACAUCUGCCUAGCUAAUAAACUUACUGCUUCAACGCCUCAUCAUGAGCAACAUCACAGAAUCAUAGAACAGGUUGGAAAAGACCUUAAAGAUCGUAAGUCCAACUGCAACCUAACCAUGCUACCCUAACUCUAACAGCUCACCACUAAAUCAUGUCCCUGAGCAAAAGCCAUUUGUUUUAGGACAAAUAAAGCCCUUUCUUUGAUGUCUCAGCAUCACUGCAGCAUAAUCCACAUUUAAUCCUCACUUGGGUUUUCUGCUGUUAAAACCAGGGAGUUCCCAGUGCUUGCACCGUUGCUCUGAAGGUGCAAACCCUCCUCUGAGGUCCUCUCCUCCCUUUUCUAAGCAGUUUUUCUGCACAGAUUUUUGGCCCAUAGGAUCUUUCCAUGCUUUUCACAGUAACUUCACUCCUUUCAGUUUGUUCAUUUAGCAGUUACAAGGCAAUGGGCAACAGCUGGCCUUGGGAGAUGGGCCCAACUGUGCACAGUACAUCACCACCAUGGAGGAGGUGGCCGCUUGUGGGCUUCAGCACACAGUGGCAAGCUACAGGACUACAGCAUGUCCAAUCGCUUCACACCAAAAUAAAUCCUGACAUAAUAAGUCUUAAUACCGCCAAAGAGACUAUUACAGUCAGUCACAAAAAUAAUCCACGUUGCAAAUGGGUGAGAAUUCCUCUUCCCGGUGGAAUAACAUGGCUCCAGAGCACCAGCUCCAGUCAGAGAGGAUCCUUUCAUGUUUACCCAACAGAGAGGGCAGCUCCAAAAGGCAAACGCGCGUUGCCAAAAACCGCUCUGCUUAAGGGAGAUUUUUGUUGCCUCCUGUCAAAGACUUGCUUUUAAAGCCAGUGAUCAAGAACAAAAGGGGAAGGCCAUGAAAGGCAGAGAUCAAAUCAAAGUCCAAAAAGAUGUCCUGGCUGCCUCCUACACGCCGCCUUCAGCCCUGCUCAUCUUUAAUGAGCAGCAGUUAGGGCAGAACAGCAGCUAAUUGCUUCACAAGCAGAAGGUUCCUAGUUUAAGUUCAAUGAUAAAUCUUCUCCAUGCCUUUGCCCCUACAUCACCCCUAUCUCCGGGGUCAUUAGCAGAACUGUGUUGGUCUUAUUCAGCCCUGGGGUGCAACCUGAGCCAGGAACCUGUGAGACUGCAGCACAACACCUGAAGGGGAGUGGAAAUCAGCAGAAGAAUCAGCAGAAGGAUGUUUUUUUUUUCCCCUUCUUAGAAGAAAAUCUCUAUGGGCAUCAUGAAAGCACCUCUACGGAUGCAGGAAAGCUUGGGGGAGGACAUUCAUGCAGUUCUGCAGUCCGCAUGGGGGUAGUUGUGACGUUUCUCAUGUGUCUGUCCUUUCUUCAUCCAAGCAUGUGGGGCUGUCAUGGGGAGAGGAGAAAGCCAAGAGAAGGACCCACGGCUGUAGCUGGUGUGUGGAAAGUACAGCACGAGCACAGCAGGGCUGUGUUAGCACAACUCACAGGGCUCUGGAUGCAGCCAUCAGUUUGCAGACAGGCACUUUUUGCCUGCAUGUCUCAGAGCUGCUCACACAGACACAGAUUCACGGCCACCUCCUUCCCAUGGAGGGAAAUGAGGAGACAGUAAAUGAAGGACCUCAUCCUCCAGGCCUGCCCUGGGGCCAGCGCACAAUUGAGGAAUGCUGCUUUUUUAAUGCCAGGAGUCUCAUCUCAGCAUCAUUUCCCCAGCUCCAUCCCUCUGCAUCCAGGAGCCCUGGGUUCACACCGACAAGCCGGAGCGUCUCUGGGUGAUUAAAGCAAGUGCAGCCUUUUAAAUCGCUCUGAUUGGGGUUGAUGGCCACGUGGAGCUGGACACUCUGCUCUAAUGAUGUGUGCAAGUCUCCCUGCUGCAACCAACCCUUCCAGCCUGAGAAAAUAAGGAGAAAGGUGGACGGGAAAAAAAAAUUACCCUCCCUUGGUGGGAGUCCCAAUGCCAUCUUCCUAAUGGGGUCUGAACUGAAAGCAGCUCUGACCCCGGUGUGCACAGCCCCAUCCUUGCCCUCUCCAAGUGCCUCUCUUUGCCAAGAAUUGGCCUUUCCACAGCAGUAUGAAAGAGCUCCAAAAUGAAGGGUGCGUUUCCUAGUGCUCAAAAAGGGCUAAACAGAGGCACGGGGGGAGGCAGGAGGUGUCCUGCAGCGACUGACCCUCCAUGUGACAUUGAUGGCUCUUAAUUCCUAAGCCCGCUUUGGAAGGAUUUCAGCAGAUCCUAUUUAAUCACCGCAGCCUCCUCAUCCCGGGGCAGCAGUCUGCCUUCUCCUCCGCCGGCUCUCCAAGAACUGGCCGCCUGCCACGCUCCCAUCCCAGCACAGGCAAUGCCACCAGAGCCACCCAGCUCAGCAUCGUUUGCUUAAUUAGCAGCAGGACUUUGCUUUACCAACGGAGGGCACCGCUUCCCGCAGGUGGGUCCCGAGCUCCCCACCACUGAGCACAGAUGUUUAAAGGCUUGUCAAAACCUCGUAACGAUUUUUUUGCCUUGUUCCAUUAGCUCCAUUUCCAAAGGCCACCACUGGAACUACCGAACAUUUAUUUCUAUUGAAUGCAGCUCAGAAGUUACGAUGUGAGGAGCUGGGAGACAGGACGGUGUGUUCCGCAGUGCCAGCUUCUCCCCACCACCGCUCAGCCGAGACACGUUGCCCUUUGAAAUAUCACUUUUAUUCCUACCUUAGAAAAACUAAAAUAAAGAGAUUGAUUCUUCCA
Molecule: long non-coding RNA, 22743 nt
Organism: Gallus gallus (chicken)
Lineage: Eukaryota; Metazoa; Chordata; Aves; Galliformes; Phasianidae
Exons: 10
Source: RefSeq, a predicted model, not a curated record